AGCGAACGCUGGCGGCGGGCUUAACACAUGCAAGUCGAACGGAAAGGCACUGCUUGUGUGGGGUGCUCGAGUGGCGAACGGGUGAGGAACACGAAAGUAACCUGCCCUUGACUUUGGGAUAGCUUCAGGAAGCUGGGGCUAAUACCGUAUAGGAGCUCCUGCUGCAUGGUGGGGGUUGGAAAGUUUCGGCGGGUGGGGAUGGACUCGCGGCUUAUCAGCUUGUUGGUGGGGUAGUGGCUUACCAAGGCUUUGACGGAUAGCCGGCCUGAGAGGGUGACCGGCCUCCUGGGGCCUGCGAGACGGCCCAGUGUGCUACGGGAGGCAGCAGUGGGGAAUCUUACACAAUCGGCGCAAGUCGGAUGCAGCAACCUUCCGGGCGUGAAGCCCGUUUGUUGGGUGAAAACCGCUUUAGCCUGUGACGACGCGUGAGUGACGGUAACCGGUAAAGAAGCACCGGCUAACUACGUG
Molecule: ribosomal RNA, 468 nt
Filed under: uncultured bacterium
Lineage: Bacteria
Description: partial 16S ribosomal RNA
Rfam family: Bacterial small subunit ribosomal RNA
Source: RNAcentral